UACGUAGGUGGCAAGCGUUGUCCGGAUUUAUUGGGUUUAAAGGGUGCGUAGGCGGCCCUGUAAGUCAGUGCUGAAAUAUCCCGGCUUAACCGGGAGGGUGGCAUCGAUACUGCAGGGCUUGAGUGAAGUCGAGGUAGGCGGAAUUGACGGUGUAGCGGUGAAAUGCUUAGAUAUCGUCAAGAACACCGAUAGUGAAGACAGCUUACUAGGCUUAUACUGACGCUGAGGCACGAAAGUGUGGGGAUCAAACAGG
RNAcentral lists this ribosomal RNA (253 nucleotides) under uncultured bacterium. RNAcentral describes it as "partial 16S ribosomal RNA". It matches the Rfam family "Bacterial small subunit ribosomal RNA", at positions 524 to 776 of the family's 1533-position model. The record is from RNAcentral.